AUGAUGCAACCUCUUCCGGACAUUGACAAGGCCUUCUCGCUAGUGAUUCAGCAAGAACGGGAAUUGAACUCCGGUACUCCCUUUACCUCCACGGAGAGUCCUUCUACUGAAUCUCCUGCCACUGCUCUUCUGGUCAACACCCAUACCAAUGGCAAAGGAGUGUCUUACGGCAGAGGAAAAGCACCAGCAACAACAACAAGAAGUGGUUUGCUUUUGAAAGCGUUUUAUUCUGCAAACACUGCAAAAAGCUAA
Non-coding RNA from Vicia faba (fava bean), 252 nucleotides. NCBI's taxonomy places the organism in Eukaryota, Viridiplantae, Streptophyta, Magnoliopsida, Fabales, Fabaceae. The record is from the annotation of a GenBank genome assembly.